RNAcentral lists this ribosomal RNA (1381 nucleotides) under human gut metagenome. Its description in RNAcentral is "bacterial LSU rRNA". It matches the Rfam family "Bacterial large subunit ribosomal RNA", at positions 1105 to 2499 of the family's 2925-position model. The record is from RNAcentral.
CUUAGAAGCAGCCAUUCAUUAAAAGAGUGCGUAAUAGCUCACUAGUCGAGAGAUCUUGCGCCGAAAAUGUAACGGGGCUAAACUUACCACCGAAGCUACGGGCUUGAACUUAGUUCAAGCGGUAGGAGAGCGUCGUAACCGGGCUGAAGUCGUACCGUAAGGAGCGGUGGACUGGUUACGAGUGAGAAUGUUGGCAUCAGUAGCGAGAUGUGGGUGAGAAUCCCACAGGCCGAAAACCUAAGGUUUCCUCAGGAAGGUUCGUCCGCUGAGGGUUAGUCGGGACCUAAGCCGAGGCCGAAAGGCGUAGGUGAUGGACAACUGGUUGAUAUUCCAGUACCACUACCAUCGUUAUUAUCGAUGGCGUGACGCAGGAGGAUAGUGUGUGCUAGCUAUUGGAUGCUAGUCUAAGCGUUUAGGCAGUGAGAGUAGGCAAAUCCGCUCUCAUAAUGCUGAGGCGUGAUGGGGAAGGUUCUACGGAACCGAAGUACAUGAUUCCACGCUGCCAAGAAAAGCGUCUAGAGAGAGAAGUAGUGCCCGUACCGCAAACCGACACAGGUAGGUGAGGAGAGAAUCCUAAGGCCGGCGGAAGAAUUACAGUUAAGGAACUCGGCAAAUUGACCCCGUAAGUUCGCGAGAAGGGGUGCCUACGAGAGUAGGCCGCAGAGAAUAGGCCCAAGCAACUGUUUAGCAAAAACACAGGUCUCUGCUAAAGCGUAAGCUGAUGUAUAGGGGCUGACGCCUGCCCGGUGCUGGAAGGUUAAGGGGAACACUUAGCGCAAGCGAAGGUGUGAACUUAAGCCCCAGUAAACGGCGGCCGUAACUAUAACGGUCCUAAGGUAGCGAAAUUCCUUGUCAGGUAAGUUCUGACCCGCACGAAUGGCGUAAUGACUUGGGCACUGUCUCAACUGUAAAUCCGGCGAAGUUGUAGUGCGAGUGAAGAUGCUCGCUACCCGCGAUUGGACGGAAAGACCCCGUAGAGCUUUACUGUAGCUUAGCAUUGAGUUUUGGUAUUGUCUGUACAGGAUAGGUGGGAGACUAGGAAACCAGGGCGUCAGCCUUGGUGGAGUCAACCUUGGGAUACCACCCUGACAGUACUGAAAUUCUAACUGGCGGCCAUGAAUCUGGUCACAGGACAUUGUUAGGUGGGCAGUUUGACUGGGGCGGUCGCCUCCUAAAAAGUAACGGAGGCGCCCAAAGGUUCCCUCAGAACGGUCGGAAAUCGUUCGAAGAGUGCAAAGGCAGAAGGGAGCCUGACUGCGACACCCACAAGUGGAGCAGGGACGAAAGUCGGGCUUAGUGAUCCGGUGGUACCUCGUGGGAGGGCCAUCGCUCAACGGAUAAAAGCUACCUCGGGGAUAACAGGCUGAUCUCCCCCAAGAGU